This 210-nucleotide unclassified non-coding RNA is filed under the name Pseudomonas coleopterorum. Its description in RNAcentral is "Pseudomonas sRNA P29". The record is from RNAcentral. Lineage: Bacteria; Pseudomonadati; Pseudomonadota; Gammaproteobacteria; Pseudomonadales; Pseudomonadaceae.
AAAGCACUGAGGGGAGCCUAGGCUCCCCUCAAGGUUUUUCUGCAUGCUCUGUUUUUAUUAUUGAGGGGCGACCUGUUGUUGUAGUUGUCGGUCGUGACCCGUACCGCGUGUUGUGCGAUCCCCAUGCGGGAUCAAGAGCAAACGUAUUUUUUUGAGCGCUGAUCUGCUUUCAUCAUCGAUCCAACCAGUGGGUAUCUACUGAACGUAGUU